GAUGAACGCUGGCGGCGGGCCUAACACAUGCAAGUCGAGCGGAUGGAGGGGGCUUGUGCCUGGUUUCCGCGGCGGACGGGUGGGUGAUGCAUAGGAAUCUGCCUGGCAGUGGGGGAUGACGUCAGGAAGCGAGAGCGGAUACAGCAUACGACCAGAGGGAGAAAGUGGGGGAUCGUUGGACAACACGGUCUCAGAUGAGACUAGGACGGAUUAGCUAGUUGGUGGGGUAAGGGCCUACCAAGGCGACGAUCCGUAGCCGGUCUGAGUGGCUGAUCAGUCACACUGGAACUGAGACACGGUCCAGACUCCUACGGGAGGCAGCAGUGGGGAAUAUUCGGCAAUGGGCGAAAGCCUGAUCCAGCCAGGCCGCGUGUGUGAAGAAGGUCUUCGGAUCGUAAAGCACUUUUAGUUGGGAUGAAGGGCAGUAAGUUAAUACCUUGCUGUUUUGACGUUACCAACUGAAUAAGCACCGGCUAACUUCGUG
RNAcentral lists this ribosomal RNA (484 nucleotides) under uncultured bacterium. RNAcentral's name for it is "partial 16S ribosomal RNA". It matches the Rfam family "Bacterial small subunit ribosomal RNA", at positions 28 to 507 of the family's 1533-position model. The record is from RNAcentral.